Molecule: long non-coding RNA, 1625 nt
Organism: Mytilus californianus (California mussel)
Lineage: Eukaryota; Metazoa; Mollusca; Bivalvia; Mytilida; Mytilidae
Exons: 2
Source: RefSeq, a predicted model, not a curated record
AAAGAACCUCAUAUAUUCAAUUUCUGUUGAAAUCAAACAAAGUUUAAUUUUGGACCCCAAUUUGGACCAACUUGAAAACUGGGCCCAUAAUCAAAAAUCUAAAUACAUGUUUAGAUUCAGCAUAUCAAAGAACCCCAUAUAUUCAAUUUUUGUUGAAAUCAAACAAAGUUUAAAUACUGGACCCUAUCUUGGACCAACUUGAAAACUGGGCCCAUAAUCAAAAAUAUAAACACAUGUUUAGAUUCAGCAUAUCAAAUAACCCCAAGAAUUCAUUUUUUGUUAAAAUCAAACUAAGUUUAAUUUUGGACCCUUUGGACCUUAAUGUAGACCAAUUUAAAAAACAGGACCCAAAAUUAAAAAUCUAAAUACACGGUUAGAUUUGGAAUAUCAAAGAGCCCCAAUAAUUCAAUUUUAGAUUAAAUCAAACAAAGUUUAAUUUGGACCCUUUUGACCUCAAUAUGAACCAAUUUGAUAACGGGGUCCACAAAUAAAAAAUCUAAAUACAUGUUUAGAUUCAGCAUAUCAAAGAACCCCAUAUAUUCAAUUUUUGUUGAAAUCAAACAAAGUUUAAAUACUGGACCCCAACUUGGACAAACUUGAAAACUGGGCCCAUAAUCAAAAAUCUAAACACAUGUUUAGAUUCAGCAUAUCAAAGAACCCCAAGAAUUCAAUUUUUGCUAAAAUCAAACUAAGUUUAAUUUUGGACCCUUUGGACCUUAAUGCAGCCCAAUUUAAAAAACGGGACUUAAAAUUAAAAAUCUAAAUACACGGUUAGAUUUGGAAUAUCAAAGAACCCCAAUAAUUCAAUUUUUGAUGAAAUCAAACAAAGUUUAAUUUUGGACCCUUUUGACCUCAAUAUGAACCAAUUUGAUAGCGAGGUCCACAAAUAAAAAAUCUAAAUACAUGGUAAGAUUCAGCAUAUCAAAGAACCCCAUAUAUUCAAUUUUUGUUGAAAUCAAACAAAGUUUAAUUUUGGACCCCAAUUUGGACCAACUUGAAAACUGGGCCAAAAAUCAAAAAUCUAAAUACAUGUUUAGAUUCAGCAUAUCAAAGAACCUCAUAUAUUCAAUUUUUGCUAAAAUCAAACAAAGUUUAAUUUUGGACCCUUUGGACAUUAAUGUAGACCAAUUUGAAAACUGGACCCAAAAUUAAAAAUCUAAAUACACUGUUAGAUUCGGCAUAACAAAUAAAUAAAUGUGAUCAAAGAUUUUACAAAUCUAAUGCGCCAUACUGUGCAAUUAAAGAUUACUUCUUGAAAUUUUUCAAUAUUUGAAAUUUGAAAAAAAAAUAAUAUUUGAAGAAUAAUUCUUUUUAAUUUCUGAAAUCUGAAAUGAGAAAAAAUUGGCCCCCCACAAUUUCUUUUUAUCCCCCCCCCUUUUUCCCCCAAAAAAAUUCUUUCCCUCAAGAUAUGGUCAUAAUCUCAAUUCAAAUUUCCAAUGGAGUUGGCAACCAUAAUUACCCAUUUAAAUUUACCAUAGUGCUAACUUAAUCUAUUUUAUAAUAGAAUUAAUAAAAAUAUAGUGUCAAAUCUUUCAUAUGGAUUUUUUUGUAAAAAAAAAAGAUGAAAACAUUUGCAGAUAUUUUUACUGGUCUUCCUUUAUAAAUAUGCAUUUCUUUAAACAUAA